CCGGCGCCCUGCAGCCGGCGCACCGUGCUAAUCUGAUGGCAGGAGCCAGGUACUUCUCCUGGUCUCCCAUGGGGUGCAGGGCCCAAGCACUUGGGCCAUCCUCCACUGCACUCCCUGGCCACAGCAGAGAGCUGGCCUGGAAGAGGGGCAACCGGGACAGAAUCCAGUGCCCCAACUGGGACUAGAACCCGGUGUGCUGGCACUACAAGGAGGAGGAUUAGCCUAGUGAGCCGUGGUGCUGGCCUUGACAGUGUUUUACAUUUGUUUUAUGACUCGGCAUAAGCUAUUUUGGCUAACAUUUUCCUGUGCACUUUGAAAGAAUUUGUAUUCUGGAGUUCUUGAGUAGAAUGUUUUAUAAAUACUGAUUUUUCCAGUAUGGUUGAUAUUAUAUUUACUGAUAUUUAUGUUCUAAAAGUCUAUUGAUUACUGAUAUUGUUAUUAUUGCUUUAAAUUGUCAAUGGUCCUAAAAAGAAUUCAAUGUAUGCACAUCCAAAUGGAUGACACAGUAUUAAUUCUACUUGAGAUUUACUAAGUUCUUUGAUAUGGGGAUUAACAUAUUUAAUAAUUUUAGAAAAUUCUAGCCAUUAUCUCUUCAAAAUAAUUUUUUGCCCCAUUCUCUAUCUUUACUCUCUUUUUUGUAUGUUAGUUAUACAUAUGCUGGAUGAUUUGAUAUCACUCAAUAAACCUUGAAUUUCUUAUUCAGUUUAAACUUGUUUCCUCUUUGUGUUUCAGCUUGGAUGACUUCUAUUUUCCUAUUUUCCAGUUAACUGAUUUUUUCUUCUAAUGUGUCCAGCAUGCUCUUUUUGAUCACUGAAUGGAUUUUGCACCUCUUAUAUUGUUCUACCCCAUCUAUUUAGUUAUUUUUUAUAAUUUUAUAUUACAUAUGAAAGUUUCAAUAUCUUUUUUUUUUUUGACAGGCAGAGUGGACAGUGAGAGAGAGAGACAGAAAGAAAGGUCUUCCUUUUUGCCGUUGGUUCACCUUCCAAUGGCUGCCGCGAUACGAAGGCAGGAGCCAGGUACUUCUCCUGGUCUCCCAUGGGGUGCAGGGCCCAAGGACUUGGGCCAUCUUCCACGGCACUCCCUGGCAACAGCAGAGAGCUGGCCUGUAAGAGGGGCAACUGGGACAGAAUCCAGCGCCCCAACCGGGACUAGAACCUGGUGUGCAGGCACCACAAGGUGGAGGAUUAGCCUAGUGAGCCGUGGCACUGGCCUCAAUAUCUUCUUGCACCAAGUUUCAUUAGAUUCUGUAACACAUUUAUCAGUUAUUUUAAUGUUAUUGCCAGCUAAAUCUAAUAUAUUGGUCAUCUGUCAACGUCUUUCCAUUGCUUGUCUUUCCUCCUGUUCAUCAUGGUUUUCUACUUCUUCAUAUAUAUUAAAAUUUUUAUUCUAUAACAGUCAUUUUGUAUCAAGAACAGUUGAAGUGAUUAACUGAAGGUUCCAGGUGUGAAGCAGCCAGCAAUGGGAGUAGCUCCAGUGGCAGCAGCAAACUUCAGCACAGCUCUCUGGCCAGUGUUCCUGGAGGAUAUCACACUGACAUCAGCAGGGUUUUCAAUGGCCACAAUAGCACGAGCUGCCAACAGCAGCUUCUCCCAGGUCCUCUUCAGAUUGAUGAUGUAGAUGCCAUCACUCUUCCUUUUGUAGAUGUACUGUUCCAUCUGGAAGUCAAGGUUGGUGCCACCUAGGUGGGUUCCUGCUGCAAGGAACUUGAGGACGUCCUCCUCCUUCAUUUGCAGGACAUCAAGGGCUCCGGACAUUGUGACAGCUUCCCCUUAAGUUACGCCGGGAAUCAAAAACAACGCCGUAUGGACCCUGGCCGGGUAGCGCGGAAAGGCCUCAAUAGUCUUGACAAGGGUUGUUCAAAGUCAUCCAAAGUCACCCAUCUCAAAAUGUCAAUUUCACUUCUGUAGAUUACCUUUUAGCUACUCUAUCAGUUACCACAGAUCAGGGAGAACAUAUGGUAUUUAUCUUUUUUGGACUGGCUUAUUUCGUUAAGUAUAAUGUUUUACAGAUGUAUCAAUUUUGUUGUGAAGGAAAGGAUUUCAUUUUUUUCACCACAGUGUAGUAUUCCAUGGUGUACAUAUCCCAUGAUUUCUUUAUCCAGUUUUCAGUUGAUGGACAUUUGUUGAUUACAUAUCUUAGCUAUUGAGAAUUGAGCUGCAAUAAACACUGGGGUAUAUAUAACUCUUUUAUACGU
This 2194-nucleotide long non-coding RNA is filed under the name Oryctolagus cuniculus (rabbit). RNAcentral's name for it is "lncRNA (ENSOCUG00000030948.1)". Lineage: Eukaryota; Metazoa; Chordata; Mammalia; Lagomorpha; Leporidae. The record is from RNAcentral.